UACGUAGGGUGCGAGCGUUGUCCGGAAUUAUUGGGCGUAAAGGGCUCGUAGGCGGUUUGUCGCGUCGGGAGUGAAAACCAUGAGCUUAACUCAUGGCUUGCUUUCGAUACGGGCAGACUAGAGGUAUGCAGGGGAGAACGGAAUUCCUGGUGUAGCGGUGAAAUGCGCAGAUAUCAGGAGGAACACCGGUGGCGAAGGCGGUUCUCUGGGCAUUACCUGACGCUGAGGAGCGAAAGUGUGGGGAGCGAACAGG
Molecule: ribosomal RNA, 253 nt
Filed under: uncultured bacterium
Lineage: Bacteria
Description: partial 16S ribosomal RNA
Rfam family: Bacterial small subunit ribosomal RNA
Source: RNAcentral